UAACGACACCAGUCAGUAGCCGAGAUGACCCAGGUGCGAAGGUCGGUGGGAGAGGCGCUGUGGGGAAUGUGUGCCGCUGACGCCAUGUCCAUGCCUGCGCACUGGUACUACAACAUCGAUGACAUCAAGAGAGAUUUUGGAGGAUGGAUCACCGGCUUCAACGCUCCCAACAAAAGACACCCGUCCAGCAUCCUCACCCUCUCCAACUCAGCGGGGAGCGGUCGCACUGCAUGGUCCUCUGGUGGGAACAGACCCCAUGUUGUGGGUAGCGUAAUCCUCCAUAACAAGCUCAAGUUCUGGAAGGCAUCAGGUGGAUCAGUCCACUAUCACCAAGGUCUCCAAGCAGGUGAGAAUACCCUGAAUGCCAUCUGCUCCCUGAGGGUGGCACAGGCCCUGACAGGGGGGAAGUUUGCCAGCGUGGCAGAACCAGUGGCGAGGGGGGCGGUGCUGGCUGAUUACGUACACUUCAUGACCACGCCAGGAACACAUGGAGACACCUACGCAGAGUCCUUCCACAGAGCAUUCUUCUCCGACUGGCAAGACCCCAGACCCACUUCCUCCAGCAAGGUGUUGAAGUUUGCAGAGCAGCGCUACCAGCAGAAGAUGAACAUGUCAGUCCCUGACAGCCAGCUAGACGCUAUUAGCUGCCUCCCCAUGGCCAUCCCCUUUGUGCUUCUCUCUGCCACAGCCAAUGAGGACCAAGCUGUGUCUGCAGCGGUAGAGUUUGUCCGGCUCACCCACCCCCACCCCAAGGUGGAGAAAUAUGUGACGCUGUACGCCCGAGCCCUCCAUGCCACUCUGAAUGGGGCGUGUCUGAAGCAGCAAGCGGAGGCCGCCCUCAAGUCACCCGACCUGGACGCAUGGGACACUUGCAAGCCCUACAUACAGAAAGCAGCCAGGUUUCCAACCUCUUCUGCAGAGGGGCUCACGGUUCACCAGAGUGCAGUGGAAAUGCUUGGCAUGGCCUGCUACACCCGAGGUGCCCUCAGUAGUAUGUUCUACCUAGCACAUGAGUUUCACAACGACCCUCAUGGAGGGAUCCUGGCAAACACCAAUUGUGGCGGAGAGAACUGCAACAGGGGUUCUGCUUUGGGGGCUCUGCUGGGGGCGAGGGCAGGGUACACGGGUGGAUCUGUACCCCAGGAGUGGAAGGAUGGAUUGAGGAACACACAGGAACCCAUCCAUGAAAUAGUAAAGAUGCUCCGAGACUGCCCCCUAUAGGACUUAAAGCCAGCAUCAGAGCACUGACACACAUACCUUACCUCCGUUUGGUUGGUGUAACUCAUAACAACAUCUGUGUACAUAUGUUUGUUGAUUUUGAGCCUUUUAUUGGCCUUGGUAUUCACAUGCUGCCCGUUGUAUGCACAAAAAGAUACCUUACAAUGAAAAAGAUUACUAUGCACAGAUAAUUACCUUUUACCUAAUUUGACUCUUAAGGCCUUCCAGGUUUACUCCCCAGCCGAAAGCUCAGCUAUCUCUCUCGACCAUACAUCAAGUAACUAUUCUCAGCUGUGUCUCCAUUAAAUAUAUUUUAGAGAUCAGUUGGAGUUUACACACUAAAGGCGUCCGCAUACAUAGGUUCGGUUUGCUCCUAGCAGAACUCGCCAGGCGAAGUGAACGUCUGUGCUCACAUACUCCCUUAAAAUUACCUCAUUUGAAAAAUUAGAAAGAAGUGGAAAUAUUACUGUUUGUACCUCUUGAGACGCCAUAGUCCGUACACUCACUUCCUCAAAAUACUCUCAAUUAAUCUGUAAAUAAUUUAGCGUUUUUUCUGAGGAGGUCUUAGUUGCGCAAAUUUACAUCUAAGAUUUUUGGUGCAGUAUUUCUAAACAUCUGCAUGAAAACUAGUAAUCUCUCGUUGAAUGACAACAAGCACUUCAUUGCAGAUCCCCUAUUGUUGACCAAUCACCGAAGAUGGGGCGUAGACUUUGGCUACGGAACUUUGACAAUCCUCAAGAAAAACAUGUGUGAUGAACAGCCCGGGGGGAAGACCCUGCCGAACGCUGCCGAACACCUAAAACGUCACAGAAUUUCAUCCUAAAAUAUGCGGGAUCUUUUUCGACUUUGAAUCAUACCGUAAGCUUUAAACUCAUAUCGAGUUUGAGUGGAAGAAGAAAAAGUUAACCUAGUUUAAAGUACAUUUGAUCAUAUACAUUGAUUGCAGAAGCAGGCAGACAGUAGCCUGCAACAUUUCUACAUUCCUUGUUUCCAAGUUAUGCGAAGGGAAACAUUGUGAAUUAAUUAUGGCAGUUCAAUGGUAACUUAUUUUAUCAGUCUUAUUUUCAUUUGGAUAUAACCUAGUGAAGUUAUUUGAAAGGUAAUAUGCCCUGCAGAAUUGUGUUUUAAAGUUGAAUAAAAGCAUUUAUGCUGGUCGAUUAUGCGCACAAACAAUAGUAUACACUGUUACAAUCUUAUGUACUGUAAUUAAGGUGUGAAAACAUUAAUUAUCUAACAUCUACAGUACAUGCUGCUUUUCAUAUGGAUCUUGUUUAUUAUCUAUAUAUUUUUAUAUCCUUCAGGCCCAAUAAAUGGUGUCUCAUUACCAAAUCUAACCACUGUCAACAACUGUCCUUCAGGCCCAAUAAAUGGUGUCUCAUUACAAAAUCUAACCACUGUCAACAACUGUCCUUCAGGCCCAAUAAAUGGUGUCUCAUUACCAAAUCUAACCACUGUCAACAACUGUUAUUGUCCUGUCUUCUUCA
Molecule: long non-coding RNA, 2702 nt
Organism: Oncorhynchus kisutch (coho salmon)
Lineage: Eukaryota; Metazoa; Chordata; Actinopteri; Salmoniformes; Salmonidae
Source: Ensembl